This 855-nucleotide ribosomal RNA is filed under the name Cephaleuros sp. BN20. RNAcentral's name for it is "partial large subunit ribosomal RNA". The stretch from base 207 to 855 matches the Rfam family "Eukaryotic large subunit ribosomal RNA", at positions 1 to 673 of the family's 3401-position model. Lineage: Eukaryota; Viridiplantae; Chlorophyta; Ulvophyceae; Trentepohliales; Trentepohliaceae. The record is from RNAcentral.
UUAUCCCGCUGAAAAUUAAGCAUAUAAGUAAGCGCAGGAAAAGAAAUCAAUCGAGAUUCCCCUAGUAGCUGCGAGCGAACAGGGAUUAGCCCGAGACCGAAUCCCAGCGCGAGCCGUCAAAAGCGAGCGUUUGGGACCUGUAGUCUAAGGUGCUGCCCGCAAAGGUGUGCGCGUCGCUAUACCCCGGAUGACCUCUGGGCAGAAUCAACGUUCAAAGCGAACGGUUUUUCCCCCCGGGAAAAUAGCAUAUCAAUAAGCGGAGGAAAAGAAACUAACCAGGAUUCCCCUAGUAACGGCGAGCGAACCGGGACAAGCCCAACUUGAAAAUCUCCUGCCCUCGGCAGGCGAAUUGUAGUCUAUAGAUCCGUUCUCUGCGCCCAGGUCGGUCGAAGUUCCUUGGAAACGGACGUCGUAGAGGGUGAGAGCCCCGUAGACCGACCGGUGGUGCUCCACGAGGCGGAAUCGAAGAGUCGGGUUGUUUGGGAAUGCAGCCCAAAGUCGGUGGUGAAUCCCAUCUAAGGCUAAAUAACGGCGAGAGACCGAUAGCGAACAAGUACCGCGAGGGAAAGAUGAAAAGAACUUUGAAGAGAGAGUGAAAUAGUGCCUGAAAUUGUUGGGGGGGAAGCGGUAGGACGUCGGGGUGCCCCGCGGCUUAGGUCCCCUGGACGGGGGGCUGUAUGCUCGCGGGGCUGGUCAGCACGGGUAUGCCGGUGGGGAGAAAUGCCGGAUUUGAUUCCGGCUCCUACCCGGCGGUGUACCGAGGUAAACGGGUGCCGCGACCCUCGUGGAUCUGCGCCCGCAAGGUGCUGGCAGAAGGCGUUCUACCGGCCCGUUGAAAAAACACGAAAAAAAUAA